CUCAUAGUUUCCCGUAGAGCAGCCGCUCCUCAAGCACAAGCCUCUCUUUCUCCCCUCGCUGCACGCCGCUCGCUCUUCUCGUCGUCUCUCCUCCCCCCCCCACCCCUUACCCCAGCGGCUACAGCGGGUUUUGUCGUUCUGUUAUCUCUAGAGCUCCCCCCCCCUCCCUGCCCCACUGCCUCCUGCAGUGGCCUCGCACUCCGCGCGCGCGUGUGGCCUCCACGCUGUCCUCAGACGCGCAUAUACAGGCCACCACUGAGCACUGGGUGUAGCCCCUCCCCACCCCACCCAUCAUCAGAGAAACAACACCUCUACGGCAUCAUGACGCAGCUGCACUCCGUCGCCAGCCUCGACUACGGCGAUGGCCGCACCUGUGUGUGCCGCAUUUGCGAGUGUGGCAAGCACCAGUGCCCCGGCUUGCGCGUCCCAUUCGUUGGGGAGACGACAUACCGCGAUGAGUACGUUGGCAAGAAGAUUGAGCGAGAGCGGCCGCGCAAAGCAAGGCAGACGGUGUUUCCGUCCAAGGCAGAGCCCGGCCACUUCAAAACGACGAAGCAGGAAGCGGCAGACUUGCUGAAGGGUAAGGACCUGCGCCCGGCGGAGUCCUACAAGCCCCGUGAGGCCGCAGCGGCACCACUGCCGUUUGAAGGCACUACAACGAACCGCGCCGACUUUCCAGGCUGGAUGCCCGACUACAACCGUACCAAGCGCAGGGAGGACCCACUCCCGAAACUGCCGGGCACGUACGUGACGACGAAGGGGGCGAUGGAGGAGCCGGUGCGUGACCUGGCCGAGCAGGGUAGGCUGCCGAAGCCGCCAAAGAGCUUCAAGGCGGACGACACCCUGCAGAAUAGCCUCCCCUUCGACGGCAUUACCAGCUACACAGCGGAGUACCAGCCGAAGGAAGUGCCGAUGACGCGCAGCGCCGCCCGCGACGUUCAGCCCGUCGCCCUGCCUGAGAACCGUGACUUUCAGACCACAGUCUCCGAGGCGUAUCAAGUGCCGCCGAUGCACAUGCGCCACGACUGCCCAGCCGCCUUCGUGCCGACGCGCCCUGCCUCGCGCGAUGGUCACCUCAAGCUCUCCGUCUACAACAUCCCCUCCGGCGAUACCAUGUACUAGUAUGCACGAGGGCAACCACAAGCACAGGCAUGCACGAGUGUGUCGCGGCACUGCUCCUACUGGAUACGUGCCGGUGCGUGUGCGUGUGCAUCUUUUUCUGCACUGUGUGCAUGUGAGCGUGUACUGUCGCUGUUGUGAUAGAACAUGGGUGUGUCGGUGCAUCUGCGCGUGUGCUGCCUGCACACCCUCUCUCCUUGUACUCCUCCUCUUUUACUGUGUGUGUGUGUAUCUUCCUGUCCUUCACCUCCUUCCAUGUCUACUGAUGUAUGCAGCCCUCCUCCCUCCCUCCUCCAUGUUUUUUUUUUUCUCUCGCUCUCUCGCUCUACGAGUGGGCUUGUGUCCUGUGCGUGAGAGUGUGCCUGUCGAUGCAGGACUCACUGGUAUCGUCCUCACCACGAGCACCAUCACUAUCACCUUGUCGCUGUCGUCGCUGUCGCACCGUGCACAUCUCUUACGUUGCAGGCAACCAACAGCGGCGAUAACGCACGUAUUUCGUGUACCUUCAACGCCUCUCUCUCUCUGUGUUGUGUGUGUGUGUGUGUGUGUCCGUCUCCGUCUGUGCGACGGCGGAUGCGCCCCAUUUGUUGCUGUUCGCGUGUUUUCGCCUUACGAUGUUGUUGAGAUCGCUGUUCUCUCCUCCUCCUCUUCGAUGCUGUGCGUCACGCUGCCCGUUGCAUCGCUCCUUUCCUCGCUCUACCGCCGCGUGAGUUGAGUGUGUGUGGAUGAGUGGGGAGGAGGGUCAACGAUGCGCAUGCGAUACACGAGGGAGAGCAAGUGCGUGUGUACAAGCAUGUG
RNAcentral lists this unclassified non-coding RNA (1917 nucleotides) under Leishmania donovani. RNAcentral's name for it is "gene:LdHU3.24.2510(CDS-product:STOP_axonemal_prot ein_putative)". The record is from RNAcentral. Lineage: Eukaryota; Euglenozoa; Kinetoplastea; Trypanosomatida; Trypanosomatidae.